AUUGAACGCUGGCGGCAUGCCUUACACAUGCAAGUCGAACGGCAGCACGGGUGCUUGCACCUGGUGGCGAGUGGCGAACGGGUGAGUAAUACAUCGGAACAUGUCCUGUAGUGGGGGAUAGCCCGUCGAAAGCCGGAUUAAUACCGCAUACGAUCUACUGAUGAAAGCGGGGGACCUUCUGGCCUCGCGCUAUAGGGUUGGCCGAUGGCUGAUUAGCUAGUUGGUGGGGUAAAGGCCUACCAAGGCGACGAUCAGUAGAUGGUCUGAGAGGACGACCAGCCACACUGGGACUGAGACACGGCCCAGACUCCUACGGGAGGCAGCAGUGGGGAAUUUUGGACAAUGGGCGAAAGCCUGAUCCAGCAAUGCCGCGUGUGUGAAGAAGGCCUUCGGGUUGUAAAGCACUUUUGUCAGGAAAGAAAUCCUUGGCUCUAAUACAGGCGGGGGAUGACGGUACCGGAAGAAUAAGCACCGGCUAACUACGUG
RNAcentral lists this ribosomal RNA (486 nucleotides) under uncultured bacterium. RNAcentral's name for it is "partial 16S ribosomal RNA". It matches the Rfam family "Bacterial small subunit ribosomal RNA", at positions 30 to 507 of the family's 1533-position model. The record is from RNAcentral.